Molecule: ribosomal RNA, 783 nt
Filed under: uncultured bacterium
Lineage: Bacteria
Description: bacterial SSU rRNA
Rfam family: Bacterial small subunit ribosomal RNA
Source: RNAcentral
AGAGUUUGAUCAUGGCUCAGGACGAACGCUGGCGGCGUGCUUAACACAUGCAAGUCGAACGGAAGGGCCCUUCGGGGUACUCGAGUGGCGAACGGGUGAGUAACACGUGGGUGAUCUGCCCUGCACUUUGGGAUAAGCCUGGGAAACUGGGUCUAAUACCGAAUAGGACCACGCGCUUCAUGGUGUGUGGUGGAAAGCUUUUGCGGUGUGGGAUGGGCCCGCGGCCUAUCAGCUUGUUGGUGGGGUGAUGGCCUACCAAGGCGACGACGGGUAGCCGGCCUGAGAGGGUGUCCGGCCACACUGGGACUGAGAUACGGCCCAGACUCCUACGGGAGGCAGCAGUGGGGAAUAUUGCACAAUGGGCGAAAGCCUGAUGCAGCGACGCCGCGUGGGGGAUGACGGCCUUCGGGUUGUAAACCUCUUUCACCAUCGACGAAGGUCCGGGUUUUCUCGGGCUGACGGUAGGUGGAGAAGAAGCACCGGCCAACUACGUGCCAGCAGCCGCGGUAAUACGUAGGGUGCGAGCGUUGUCCGGAAUUACUGGGCGUAAAGAGCUCGUAGGUGGUUUGUCGCGUUGUUCGUGAAAUCUCACGGCUUAACUGUGAGCGUGCGGGCGAUACGGGCAGACUUGAGUACUGCAGGGGAGACUGGAAUUCCUGGUGUAGCGGUGGAAUGCGCAGAUAUCAGGAGGAACACCGGUGGCGAAGGCGGGUCUCUGGGCAGUAACUGACGCUGAGGAGCGAAAGCGUGGGGAGCGAACAGGAUUAGAUACCCUGGUAGUCC